This is a long non-coding RNA of Oncorhynchus keta (chum salmon), 4425 nucleotides long. RefSeq lists it as uncharacterized. The transcript is spliced from 4 exons. The record is from RefSeq and is a predicted model, not a curated record. NCBI's taxonomy places the organism in Eukaryota, Metazoa, Chordata, Actinopteri, Salmoniformes, Salmonidae.
UGCCUGGCCACCCACUAGGAGGGGACUACAGUGCCUGGCCACCCACUAGGAGGAGACUACAGUGCCUGGCCACCCACUAGGAGGUGACUACAGUGCCUGGCCACCCACUAGGAGGGGACUACAGUGCCUGGCCACCCACUAGGAGUUGACUACAGUGCCUGGCCACCCACUAGGAGGGGACUACAGUGCGUGGCCACCCACUAGGAGGUGACUACAGUGCCUGGCCACCCACUAGGAGGGGACUACAGUGCCUGGCCACCCACUAGGAGGGGACUACAGUGCCUGGCCACCCACUAGGAGGUGACUACAGUGCCUGGCCACCCACUAGGAGGGGACUACAGUGCCUGGCCACCCACUAGGAGGUGACUACAGUGCCUGGCCACCCACUAGGAGGUGACUACAGUGCCUGGCCACCCACUAGGAGGGGACUACAGUGCCUGGCCACCCACUAGGAGGGGACUACAGUGCCUGGCCACCCACUAGGAGGUGACUACAGUGCCUGGCCACCCACUAGGAGGGGACUACAGUGCCUGGCCACCCACUAGGAGGGGACUACAGUGCCUGGCCACCCACUAGGAGGGGACUACAGUGCCUGGCCACCCACUAGGAGGGGACUACAGUGCCUGGCCACCCACUAGGAGGGGACUACAGUGCCUGGCCACCCACUAGGAGGGGACUACAGUGCCUGGCCACCCACUAGGAGGGGACUACAGUGCCUGGCCACCCACUAGGAGGGGACUACAGUGCCUGGCCACCCACUAGGAGGGGACUACAGUGCCUGGCCACCCACUAGGAGGUGACUACAGUGCCUGGCCACCCACUAGGAGGUGACUACAGUGCCUGGCCACCCACUAGGAGGGGACUACAGUGCCUGGCCACCCACUAGGAGGGGACUACAGUGCCUGGCCACCCACUCGGAGGGGACUACAGUGCCUGGCCACCCACUAGGAGGCAGCAUUUUGUGUUUGUGCAGAAGGGAAUAGACAAACGUUGUUUUUCUUUUUUGAAUUUAUUAGUGCCACAUUCCAUCGAAUGUUGAAACUGCAAAUCUUAACAUGAUUUACAAACACACAGGCUUGAACUGGGUGAAAACAUACACAAGCUGUGUUUUUCUACUAUAAUAAUUGUGCCAUAGAUACUGUUAUUGUGUGUUUUUAUUUAGAGAUUUAGUUGUAUUCAGUCAUGAAAUGUUUAUUAAGAUUACAACCAACCUUCGUCUUAAGCGUUGUAAUUAAUUCCCCAUGUUUUCUAUCCGUUGGACAGUGAAGGACCAGCUACCACCUGACACAUUAGAUUGACCUCAUUGUUUUUCACAGACAGGUGGCUCAGCAUCGUAACUCGCCUGUUUAUAGACUACAGUAGUGUAGCUAUAAUAUAGAUAAUAACCCUCUGUGAUUGGACUGACCUGUGUGUGCUAGAUUUUGGAGGGGCACAUUUAAAGGCCUGACAUUACGCACAACGAUACCCCUCCAAAGGACAGACAGACAAAUGGACGGAUGGUUGGGCACAGGGGCAGGCCGGGCCUCGGCCCCAGGUUAUUCUGGCCUCUGACUUAUCCCCUAACAUUUAACCUGGUGGCCCAUGUUUCCCUCUAACAUCGCUGAGGAAGGCCUGCCUUUUGUUAGUUUGGCUUCAGUUGGUUCAGUUGGACGUGGUUGAUGCUGACACUCCUGAAAAGCGCUUUUUGAGCUGGUUUAGGCAGGUCAUCUGAGUAAAAACCAAUCUGACCGGCUAUGUACAGUUCAGUACCCACACAGAACCUUAGAAACCACACCAGCUUUCUGAAUACGCGCAAUACAGCAAUGAUCAUGAGGUCCAGUGUAGACCGACUCUAAAGCUCAGAUUUUCUGCUAAAUGGCAUAUAUAGAUUUUGACAGGAUCACUACAGAUCACUGGCUGUCAGACAUGUACAAGAAGUGUGUAUAGAAGUCUUCAGCUGACUGUUUGCCCAUGGAAACAUUAAAAAUAACUUUUGAAUGUUCAGUUGUGUAGGUACACACAGACAGGAAUGAUCAGUUGUGUAGGUACACACAGACAGGAAUGAUCAGUUGUGUAGGUACACACAGACAGGAAUGAUCAGUUGUGUAGGUACACACAGACAGGAAUGAUCAGUUGUGUAGGUACACACAGACAGGAAUGUUCAGUUGUGUAGGUACACACAGACAGGAAUGUUCAGUUGUGUAGGUACACACAGACAGGAAUGAUCAGUUGUGUAGGUACACACAGACAGGAAUGAUCAGUUGUGUAGGUACACACAGACAGGAAUGAUCAGUUGUGUAGGUACACACAGACAGGAAUGAUCAGUUGUGUAGGUACACACAGACAGGAAUGUUCAGUUGUGUAGGUACACACAGACAGGAAUGUUCAGUUGUGUAGGUACACACAGACAGGAAUGAUCAGUUGUGUAGGUACACACAGACAGGAAUGAUCAGUUGUGUAGGUACACACAGACAGGAAUGAUCAGUUGUGUAGGUACACACAGACAGGAAUGAUCAGUUGUGUAGCGACACACAGACAGGAAUGAUCAGUUGUGUAGGUACACACAGACAGGAAUGUUCAGUUGUGUAGGUACACACAGACAGGAAUGAUCAGUUGUGUAGGUACACACAGACAGGAAUGUUCAGUUGUGUAGGUACACACAGACAGGAAUGUUCAGUUGUGUAGGUACACACAGACAGGAAUGAUCAGUUGUGUAGGUACACACAGACAGGAAUGAUCAGUUGUGUAGGUACACACAGACAGGAAUGAUCAGUUGUGUAGCUACACGCAGACAGGAAUGUUCAGUUGUGUAGCGACACGCAGACAGGAAUGUUCAGUUGUGUAGCGACACGCAGACAGGAAUGUUCAGUUGUGUAGCGACACGCAGACAGGAAUGUUCAGUUGUGUAGCGACACGCAGACAGGAAUGUUCAGUUGUGUAGCGACACGCAGACAGGAAUGUUCAGUUGUGUAGCUACACGCAGACAGGAAUGUUCAGUUGUGUAGCGACACGCAGACAGGAAUGGUCAGUUGUGUAGCUACACGCAGACAGGAAUGGUCAGUUGUGUAGCUACACGCAGACAGGAAUGUUCAGGUGUGUAGCUACACGCAGACAGGAAUGAUCAGUUGUGUAGGUACACGCAGACAGGAAUGAUCAGUUGUGUAGCUACACGCAGACAGGAAUGGUCAGUUGUGUAGCUACACGCAGACAGGCAUGGUCAGUUGUGUAGCUACACGCAGACAGGCAUGGUCAGUUGUGUAGCGACACGCAGACAGGAAUGUUCAGUUGUGUAGCUACACGCAGACAGGCAUGGUCAGUUGUGUAGGUACACGCAGACAGGAAUGUUCAGUUGUGUAGCUACACGCAGACAGGAAUGUUCAGUUGUGUAGCUACACGCAGACAGGCAUGGUCAGUUGUGUAGCUACACGCAGACAGGCAUGGUCAGUUGUGUAGCUACACGCAGACAGGAAUGUUCAGUUGUGUAGCUACACGCAGACAGGCAUGGUCAGUUGUGUAGCUACACGCAGACAGGAAUGUUCAGUUGUGUAGCUACACGCAGACAGGAAUGGUCAGUUGUGUAGCUACACGCAGACAGGCAUGGUCAGUUGUGUAGCUACACGCAGACAGGCAUGGUCAGUUGUGUAGGUACACGCAGACAGGAAUGUUCAGUUGUGUAGCUACACGCAGACAGGAAUGUUCAGUUGUGUAGCUACACGCAGACAGGCAUGGUCAGUUGUGUAGCUACACGCAGACAGGCAUGGUCAGUUGUGUAGCUACACGCAGACAGGAAUGUUCAGUUGUGUAGCUACACGCAGACAGGCAUGGUCAGUUGUGUAGCUACACGCAGACAGGAAUGUUCAGUUGUGUAGCUACACGCAGACAGGAAUGGUCAGUUGUGUAGCUACACGCAGACAGGCAUGGUCAGUUGUGUAGCUACACGCAGACAGGAAUGGUCAGUUGUGUAGCUACACGCAGACAGGCAUGGUCAGUUGUGUAGCUACACGCAGACAGGCAUGGUCAGUUGUGUAGCUACACGCAGACAGGAAUGUUGUACUGCUUCCAUACUACGUUGCUUCAUACUAAGUAGCUAGGACACUAGUGUGGAUAUUGGAUCAGAACCAAUGAUUGGGAAUGAUUUUGACACAUAAGGACACAAGUCAUCAUCAGAGACUUCAGUUUAUUUAGUGUUCCCUGGCCAGUGUAGUUCUAUCGAAUGAGAUGUAUACAUUAAAUGGUAGAGAAAGGUAUUGGCCAGGAAGCCAUUCUAGCCUACUACACUACUGUCUGUCUAAACAGUUGAUAUUUAUACACCCCUGUUCUGCUGUGUACAAGCUGCCUGGCAACCGAUGAUGAACCGUAAAAUACUUUAUGGAUUUAUUUGCUUCAAAUAUCCCUGGAUGAUGAUGUUUAAAUGUUAAUAUUAUAAAUAAAGUUAUUCAAAUGAAA